AAUGAACGCUGGCGGCAUGCCUUACACAUGCAAGUCGAACGGCAGCAUGACCUAGCUUGCUAGGUUGAUGGCGAGUGGCGAACGGGUGAGUAAUGCAUCGGAACGUGCCUUUUAGUGGGGGAUAACGUAGCGAAAGUUACGCUAAUACCGCAUAUUCUCUGAGGAGGAAAGCAGGGGACCUUCGGGCCUUGCGCUAGAAGAGCGGCCGAUGUCGGAUUAGCUAGUUGGUGAGGUAAAGGCUCACCAAGGCAACGAUCCGUAGCGGGUCUGAGAGGAUGAUCCGCCACACUGGGACUGAGACACGGCCCAGACUCCUACGGGAGGCAGCAGUGGGGAAUUUUGGACAAAGGGCGCAAGCCUGAUCCAGCCAUGCCGCGUGAGUGAAGAAGGCCUUCGGGUUGUAAAGCUCUUUCGGCUGGGAAGAAAUCGCACCCUCUAAUACAGGGUGUGGAUGACGGUACCAGCAUAAGAAGCACCUGCUAACUACGUG
This 490-nucleotide ribosomal RNA is filed under the name uncultured bacterium. RNAcentral describes it as "partial 16S ribosomal RNA". It matches the Rfam family "Bacterial small subunit ribosomal RNA", at positions 29 to 507 of the family's 1533-position model. The record is from RNAcentral.